CCUACGGGGGGCAGCAGUGAGGAAUAUUGGUCAAUGGGCGCGAGCCUGAACCAGCCAAGUAGCGUGAAGGAUGACUGCCCUACGGGUUGUAAACCUCUUUUAUAAAGGAAUAAAGCGAGGCACGUGUGCCUUUUUGUAAGUACUUUAUGAAUAAGGAUCGGCUAACUCCGUGCCAGCAGCCGCGGUAAUACGGAGGAUCCGAGCGUUAUCCGGAUUUAUUGGGUUUAAAGGGAGCGUAGAUGGGUUGUUAAGUCAGAGGGGAAAAUUUGCGGCUCAACCGUCAAAUUGCAAUUGAUACUGGCAGUCUUGAGUACAGGUGAGGUAGGCGGAAUGCGUGGUGUAGCGGUGAAAUGCAUAGAUAUCACGAAGAACUCCGAUUGCGAAGGCAGCUUACUAGACUGCCACUGACAUUGAUGCUCGAAAGUGUGGGUAUCAAACAGGAUUAGAUACCCGAGUAGUC
This 460-nucleotide ribosomal RNA is filed under the name uncultured bacterium. Its description in RNAcentral is "partial 16S ribosomal RNA". It matches the Rfam family "Bacterial small subunit ribosomal RNA", at positions 338 to 795 of the family's 1533-position model. The record is from RNAcentral.